RNAcentral lists this ribosomal RNA (498 nucleotides) under uncultured bacterium. Its description in RNAcentral is "partial 16S ribosomal RNA". It matches the Rfam family "Bacterial small subunit ribosomal RNA", at positions 30 to 523 of the family's 1533-position model. The record is from RNAcentral.
AUUGAACGCUGGCGGCAUGCCUUACACAUGCAAGUCGAACGGUAACAGGUCUUCGGAUGCUGACGAGUGGCGAACGGGUGAGUAAUACAUCGGAACGUGCCUAGUAGUGGGGGAUAACUACUCGAAAGAGUGGCUAAUACCGCAUGAGAUCUACGGAUGAAAGCAGGGGAUCGCAAGACCUUGUGCCACUAGAGCGGCCGAUGGCAGAUUAGGUAGUUGGUGGGAUAAAAGCUUACCAAGCCGACGAUCUGUAGCUGGUCUGAGAGGACGAUCAGCCACACUGGGACGGAGACACGGCCCAGACUCCUACGGGAGGCAGCAGUGGGGAAUUUUGGACAAUGGGCGAAAGCCUGAUCCAGCAAUGCCGCGUGCAGGAUGAAGGCCUUCGGGUUGUAAACUGCUUUUGUACGGAACGAAAAGCCCCGGGUUAAUACCCUGGGGUCAUGACGGUACCGUAAGAAUAAGCACCGGCUAACUACGUGCCAGCAGCCGCCGUAA